RNAcentral lists this ribosomal RNA (496 nucleotides) under uncultured bacterium. RNAcentral describes it as "partial 16S ribosomal RNA". It matches the Rfam family "Bacterial small subunit ribosomal RNA", at positions 29 to 507 of the family's 1533-position model. The record is from RNAcentral.
AUGAACGCUGGCGGCGUGCCUAAUACAUGCAAGUCGAGCGAACGGACGAGAAGCUUGCUUCUCUGAUGUUAGCGGCGGACGGGUGAGUAACACGUGGGUAACCUACCUAUAAGACUGGGAUAACUUCGGGAAACCGUAGCUAAUACCGGAUAAUAUUUUGAACCGCAUGGUUCAAAAGUGAAAGACGGUCUUGCUGUCACUUAUAGAUGGAUCCGCGCUGCAUUAGCUAGUUGGUAAGGUAACGGCUUACCAAGGCAACGAUGCAUAGCCGACCUGAGAGGGUGAUCGGCCACACUGGAACUGAGACACGGUCCAGACUCCUACGGGAGGCAGCAGUAGGGAAUCUUCCGCAAUGGGCGAAAGCCUGACGGAGCAACGCCGCGUGAGUGAUGAAGGUCUUCGGAUCGUAAAACUCUGUUAUUAGGGAAGAACAUAUGUGUAAGUAACUGUGCACAUCUUGACGGUACCUAAUCAGAAAGCCACGGCUAACUACGUG